RNAcentral lists this ribosomal RNA (433 nucleotides) under uncultured bacterium. Its description in RNAcentral is "partial 16S ribosomal RNA". It matches the Rfam family "Bacterial small subunit ribosomal RNA", at positions 29 to 507 of the family's 1533-position model. The record is from RNAcentral.
AACGAACGCUGGCGGCAUGCCUAACACAUGCAAGUCGAACGAGACCUUCGGGUCUAGUGGCGCACGGGUGCGUAACGCGUGGGAACCUGCCCUUAGGUUCGGAAUAACUCCCCGAAAGGGGUGCUAAUACCGGAUAAUGUCUUCGGACCAAAGAUUUAUCGCCUUUGGGUGGGCCCGCGUUGGAUUCGCUAGUUGGUAGGGUAAAAGCCUACCAAGGCGACGAUCCAUAGCUGGUCGGAGAGGAUGAUCAGCCACACUGGGACUGAGACACGGCCCAGACUCGUACGGGACGCAGCAGUGGGGAAUAUUGGAGAAUGGGCGAAAGUCUGAUACAGCAAUGCCGCGUGAGUGAUGAAGGCCUUAGGGUUGUAAAGCUCCUUUACCCGGGAUGAUAAUGACAGUACCGGGAGAAUAAGCUCCGGCUAACUCCGUG